GAGGUUGUAGCUCAGUGGUAGAGUGCACGCCUACCAUGCAUGAGGCACUGGGUUCGAUCCUCAGCACCACA
Non-coding RNA from Ictidomys tridecemlineatus (thirteen-lined ground squirrel), 71 nucleotides. The record is from Rfam. NCBI's taxonomy places the organism in Eukaryota, Metazoa, Chordata, Mammalia, Rodentia, Sciuridae.